UCCAGACUCCUACGGGAGGCAGCAGUGAGGAAUAUUGGUCAAUGGGCGGGGGCCUGAACCAGCCAAGUCGCGUGAGGGAAGACGGUCCUAUGGAUUGUAAACCUCUUUAGGCGGGGAGCAAUGCCGGGCACGCGUGCCCGGAGGGAGAGUACCCGCAGAAUAAGCAUCGGCUAACUCCGUGCCAGCAGCCGCGGUAAUACGGAGGAUGCGAGCGUUAUCCGGAUUUAUUGGGUUUAAAGGGUGCGUAGGUUGUUUUUUAAGUCAGCGGUGAAAGUUUGUGGCUCAACCAUAAAAUUGCCGUUGAAACUGGAAGACUUGAGUGUGUUUGAGGUAGGCGGAAUGCGUGGUGUAGCGGUGAAAUGCAUAGAUAUCACGCAGAACUCCGAUUGCGAAGGCAGCUUACUAAGCCAUAACUGACACUGAAGCACGAAAGCGUGGGGAUCGAACAGGAUUAGAUACCCGGGUAAA
RNAcentral lists this ribosomal RNA (468 nucleotides) under uncultured bacterium. Its description in RNAcentral is "partial 16S ribosomal RNA". It matches the Rfam family "Bacterial small subunit ribosomal RNA", at positions 330 to 794 of the family's 1533-position model. The record is from RNAcentral.